UACGGAGGGUGCAAGCAUUGAUCGGAAUUACUGGGCGUAAAGGGCGCGUAGGCGGUUUUGAAAGUCAGAUGUGAAAUUCUGGGGCUCAACCCCGGGGCUGCAUUUGAGACUUUAGAACUAGAGGACAGUUAGGGAAAACGGAAUUCCACGUGUAGCGGUGAAAUGCGUAGAUAUGUGGAAGAACACCGGUGGUGAAGACGGUUUUCUGGGCUGAACCUGACGCUGAGGCGCGAAAGCAAGGGGAGCAAACAGG
This 253-nucleotide ribosomal RNA is filed under the name uncultured bacterium. RNAcentral's name for it is "partial 16S ribosomal RNA". It matches the Rfam family "Bacterial small subunit ribosomal RNA", at positions 524 to 776 of the family's 1533-position model. The record is from RNAcentral.